AAGUUUUAACUUUUAACUUCUGUUUCCUUUACUUUCACUUCCUCCGACAGAGGCUUCCAAAAUCCCUAACCCGUGCCUUCCUCCCUUUUUUUUCCCAUUUCCAAAAUCAAGUUGUUUGCUGGUCCUCCACCGAAUCACCGAUCCACCUCCAUUGUCAAGACCUCCACCGAUCUACCUCCGGUCCUCCACCCAAUUCCAGAAUCAAGCAUUUAGGGGUUUGUUUAUUCCCGAAUCGCCAACAAAUUCGUUUUUAAGGUAAGCCAUUUGUUUAUUCGUUAAUGUUCAUUUGUUCAUAACUUUAUAUGAAUUUUUAUGUUAAUUAUUUUGAUUUUUGGGUAAUAAUGUUUUCAAAGUUAUGAAUCAAAUCAUCCUUGUUGUUCAAUACUCCUGCAACAGCCAACAAUUCUUGAGCUGCAAAAAAGCAGUUUCCCUGAAACUCUUAACCUUCACUAAACAAAAAUGGGUGCACUUUAACCCUAUCCCUGAACUCACUUUAGAAGUCUUCAACAAAUAACAAGUUGGUGCCAGCCCACACCCUUGGCCCUGCACCACAAUCCCCCAUGCCCUCGAUACCUCUUCUUUUCCAUCGCUCUUUUCAUCAUCUCCUUCUAUUUGCUCAACAAAUAUCACCCCACACUUCAAGGCUGUUUGGCUUCCAUGAAAUUCCAACUCAACCUUUGAUUCUCUACUCCCAAUCCUUACGGGCAGUCCAUGCAACCUAUUGAUUUGGGAUAAGAUUAAAAGUUGUGCAUUAUUACCCAUAAAAUGUUGUGCAUUAUAGUGGGAAGAAAUUGAAAGUUGGGUUGCUUUCUGGUUUCUUCCAUUUGUGUUAGGGUGAUUUAACUGUAUAAUAACUGCAUGUACAUUGGUGGUGCUGUGCCAUAGUUGUAUGUACCCAAUAUCUGUAUGUAACUUACAAACCUUGAAAUUGAACAAGGAUUUAUUUAGUAACGAAAGUGGACAAAACGAGAUGUGUUUGAACUCAUGUUCUGAUGCAUUUGAAACAUGUGGUGAACACAGUUCUUUGUAGCAAUAUGAAUGUCUGAGGCUCGUUUUUUGCUAGCUUGCUUUCAAGAUGUUGGAAACAUGAUAUGUUUGAUUGCCUGUAAUAUCACGAAAAAACAUCAUUUGCAAUUUGCAAAUAAUUCUUUGGAUGAUGGUGGAAUGCAUAUGGCCUUGUUUGAUUCCUGAGGUGGUUUUAUUUGCAGGAUUAUUCUUAAUCCCUUUCUUGUGUAUUUUCAGCUGUGUAGUGGAAAAGCUGCCUUAAAUUUUGGAGCGUCUGUCAAAAGAACAAAUAAGCUAUCAGGUGUGCUCUGUUCUCUAGAGAGGCUUUUGGGAGGGGGAUAAUUUUUUUGUGAUUAAAAUAUUUGAAUUUUUUAAGAAAUCAUUAACAAUGGAUUUUGAAACGAAUUUUUCAAUUAGCUUUCUGUUAAUCUAUGAUUCAAUCAAAUAAUUAAGUGGUAAAUGUUUGUUUAUAUGUUUAUAUCUGGAAAUAAAGUUCUCAGAAUUUUGAAAUUGCAUGAGAUUCGAGUUUAAUGAAUUUAUUAUAAUGUUUACUAAGAUCACAAGCUUAGUUUAUUCAUUUAAUCUCAUCUUCUUCUUUUUUUUUUGCUUUGUUUUAUUGCAGAAACAAUCGACAUUGAAAUCGAUUUGGCUUACCUUAGCUUCCUUUCCUGUAAGCUUUCAUUUACAUUUUCUUUUUACAAUUUAAUUUAAUUUUCCUUUAUUUUACUUUGUACAACAUUUUGCAGAUUAGCAGAUUUUCCCGUAAGCUAAACUUGCUUAUCUACUAGUAGGAAAAUAAUGGGAUUGAGACAUAGAGAUGCUUCUAUUUAAGAUUUUGGAUUGGAUUUAUGCCGUUUGAAUUUCAUUAAUUUCUCUUUUGGUACAUAUGUAAUUUAGCUUAUAGAAUAAGUACGACUAUCUCAAUUGAAAGUGAUUAAAUCCUGCGCAUGUAAUAUUGGUUGGUUUUAAGAUAAAAAAAUGUAAACUUAUUUGUUUACAAAAAUAUUUGCUAAUACAAAAAUGUAAACUAAUCAAAUGUUA
RNAcentral lists this long non-coding RNA (2046 nucleotides) under Gossypium barbadense (sea-island cotton). RNAcentral describes it as "long non-coding RNA (GBAR_LNC021176)". The record is from RNAcentral. Lineage: Eukaryota; Viridiplantae; Streptophyta; Magnoliopsida; Malvales; Malvaceae.